GCGCAGCAGUCGAGAAUUUUUCUCAAUGGGGGGAAACCCUGAAGGAGCGACGCCGCGUGGAGGAUGAAGGUCUUCGGAUUGUAAACUCCUGUCAUUAGGGAACAAAUCUUCCAAGUAACUACUGGAAGUCUGAUAGUACCUGAAGAGGAAGAGACGGCUAACUCUGUGCCAGCAGCCGCGGUAAUACAGAGGUCUCAACCGUUGUUCGGAUUCAUUGGGCGUAAAGGGUGCGUAGGCGGCGGAGUAAGUCAGGUGUGAAAUCUCGGGGCUCAACCCCGAAACUGCACUUGAUACUGCUUCGCUUGAGUAUUGGAGAGGAGAUUGGAAUUUACGGUGUAGCAGUGAGAUGCGUAGAUAUCGUAAGGAAGACCAGUGGCGAAGGCGAAUCUCUGGACAAUUACUGACGCUGAGGCACGAAGGCC
This 422-nucleotide ribosomal RNA is filed under the name uncultured organism. Its description in RNAcentral is "bacterial SSU rRNA". It matches the Rfam family "Bacterial small subunit ribosomal RNA", at positions 346 to 761 of the family's 1533-position model. The record is from RNAcentral.